GACGAACGCUGGCGGCGUGCUUAACACAUGCAAGUCGAGCGGUAAGGCCCUUUCGGGGUACGACGAGCGGCGAACGGGUGAGUAACACGUGGGUGACCUGCCCUCCAGCUCUGGGAUAAGCCCGGGAAACUGGGUCUAAUACUGGAUAUGACUCCAUGACGCAUGUUGUGGGGUGGAAAGCCUUGUGCGGCUGAGGAUGGGCCCGCGGCCUAUCAGCUUGUUGGUCGGGNGAUGGCCUACCAAGGCGACGACGGGUAGCCGGCCUGAGAGGGCGACCGGCCACACUGGGACUGAGACACGGCCCAGACUCCUACGGGAGGCAGCAGUGGGGAAGUCUUGCGCAAUGGGCGAAAGCCUGACGCAGCGACGCCGCGUGAGGGAUGACGGCCU
Molecule: ribosomal RNA, 390 nt
Filed under: uncultured bacterium
Lineage: Bacteria
Description: bacterial SSU rRNA
Rfam family: Bacterial small subunit ribosomal RNA
Source: RNAcentral